UUACACAUGCAAGUCGAACGGCAGCACGGACUUCGGUCUGGUGGCGAGUGGCGAACGGGUGAGUAAUACAUCGGAACGUGCCUAGUAGUGGGGGAUAACUACUCCAAAGAGUGGCUAAUACCGCAUGAGAUCUACGGAUGAAAGCAGGGGAUCGCAAGACCUUGUGCUACUAGAGCGGCUGAUGGCAGAUUAGGUAGUUGGUGGGAUAAAAGCUUACCAAGCCGACGAUCUGUAUCUGGUCUGAGAGGACGAUCAGCCACACUGGGACUGAGACACGGCCCAGACUCCUACGGGAGGCAGCAGUGGGGAAUUUUGGACAAUGGGCGCAAGCCUGAUCCAGCAAUGCCGCGUGCAGGAUGAAGGCCUUCGGGUUGUAAACUGCUUUUGUACGGAACGAAAAGCUUCGGGCUAAUACCCUGGAGUCAUGACGGUACCGUAAGAAUAANCACCGGCUAACUACGUGCCAGCAGC
RNAcentral lists this ribosomal RNA (471 nucleotides) under uncultured bacterium. RNAcentral describes it as "bacterial SSU rRNA". It matches the Rfam family "Bacterial small subunit ribosomal RNA", at positions 49 to 515 of the family's 1533-position model. The record is from RNAcentral.